UCCAGGAGAGCUGGAGAGGGACUUGGGACAAGGGUUGGAGGGACAGGACAAGGAGCAAUAGGCAAUAGAGGGCAUAGGAGGUGGGACAUAAAAUACAACCCAGGCAGAUGGGGAUGGUGGGAGGUGACAUCCCUGCUGCAACAUGGACACUGCAAUGCUGCUGGGCCACCUGCACCUAUUUUAUCCUAAUUAAUGCAUUUUUACCUUGUUUAACUUCAAGGCCUGCCCCAGGGCAGCCAUGGGAAGGGCAGAAUGCAGCUCUCUGUGGGAUAUCUGCUCUCCUGGGGGGGUGCUGACAGCCUGUUCUGCACCCCAAGCCUGGUGAAUGCUGCACAGUGAGAUCUCUUUGAUCACUGGCUCUCAGGUGCUCAGAGUUAUUACUCAAAAACAAAGGAUCUUCUUUUGUGGAUCAGGGUCUCCCUCCAUCAAGAAGCAUCUACACACACCAUGUCCACACUGUGCUGCUGAGGAGCAAUGUAGCAGCUCUGCACCAAAGACAACUGAGGUAUUCCAAGCACCAAAUGUAAUCCAGAAAGUAGGAGUUACCUUUUCCCUCUGCUUGCCUGUAAUGAAGAAUUUUGUUGACUUGUUGUUAUUGUAAUAGCGUAAAAGUGAAAUUUUUGUGCCCUGUCUGUGCCCAUAUGGAUCUCCUUCCCACUGGGCAAGAAUUGAUGCUCAUCAUCUGUUUGGCAAGUUUUAAAUAAAAAUUCUGCAGAUGCAGAAUUAGAACAUGAAGAACA
Taeniopygia guttata (zebra finch) is the source of this 740-nucleotide long non-coding RNA. RefSeq lists it as uncharacterized. The record is from RefSeq and is a predicted model, not a curated record. Lineage: Eukaryota; Metazoa; Chordata; Aves; Passeriformes; Estrildidae.